UGGCAUAAAUAUGUGAAAUGGGUGCUU
RNAcentral lists this non-coding RNA (27 nucleotides) under Rattus norvegicus (Norway rat). The record is from RNAcentral. Lineage: Eukaryota; Metazoa; Chordata; Mammalia; Rodentia; Muridae.